Non-coding RNA from Misgurnus anguillicaudatus (oriental weatherfish), 355 nucleotides. Lineage: Eukaryota; Metazoa; Chordata; Actinopteri; Cypriniformes; Cobitidae. The record is from RefSeq and is a predicted model, not a curated record.
AAACAAUGCCAACAUCAUAUGCCAAACCUGAAUAAACUGCAUACAAUUAAUGAUAAAAAAUCAAUUUGUGAUGUGCCAUCAGUUGUGGUCUUGACCGGUCUUGAAAUAAAAUUCAGAGUCCUCUUUGUCUGAGACCGAGACGAGACCAAGACCUUUAAAAAGUGGUCUCGAGACCGAGACCGGUCUCAAGAACUACAACACUAGUAUGAAUUCAUACGAAUUAGCCAACGCGUAAAAUAUGUACAAAUUCCUGUGAGAUCAGUCUGAUCUAAACUAUGUAGACCUACAUGAUCAAUUUGUGACACCACAGAAAAAAUAUGUUAACCAAUUUGAAUGAAAAAAUAAAAAAAUAAAA